UCCUCUCCUCUAACCGGCCGCCUUCCAUGCUUACACAUCCAUGAUUGUUUUGUCAGAGAACAGAACACCACAGAGAGAGAGAGAGAGAGGGAGGGAGGGGCAUGUUCAUGGUUCAUGAGUUCAUGCUUCUUUUCCCUCUGCAUAAUGGCCUGCAGCUUUUCAAACUCUAUAUAUACGUUUGCAGCUUCCUCCUUCCAUUUUGUCUCUCAUCAACCAAAACUCCAAGUCCUUGCCAUACCCACUGGAACUGCCGAUUCUAACAAAUCUUCCUCUGUCUCCCUCUAACCACCUCAAGAAAAGAGCCAAGAAUGGAGAGGCUGAACUCAAAGCUCUACCUGCAAAACUGCUACAUAAUGAAGGAGAACGAGAGGCUGAGGAGGAAAGCCCAGCUUCUGAACCAGGAGAAUCAAGUCCUCCUCUCUGAGCUGAAGCAGAAACUCUCCAAAUCCUCCAAAUCAAACAAUGACCCAAAUGGUGCCGCUGCUACAACCAUUCCAGAUCUCAACCUCUGCUCAUCUUCCUCAACAAAUCCUACUAAGGCCAGCAAACCCUGAUUCUAUCCAUCACCAACAUGAUCAAGAAGAGUCGCUGAGCAAAAAAGAGGAGUUUGAUGAUAACCCUAGUUAGAGAGACUAAAUUGUUACCCUCCUUUUUUUUUUGGUGUAAUAUUUUGCCCAGCAACAGUGUUAGUUCUAGUUUCAGUUAUGUAGGGACUGUAGCAGCAGGACAAGGAGAAGCAGUAUCUUCUUAUGUAGCUGUAGAAUUUUCUAGUAUUCAAUCCUUUUCUUCUAUGUUUGUGUUAGCAUCUCUCUCUCUUUCUCUUUCUCUUUCUUUUUGGUUCUUUGGUUGGGGGGUUGAUAGAUGAGGAUAUUUUGUCAGACCGUGGUUUAUAGGGAAAUAUGUGGAAAUAUUAGUUAUCAAUA
Molecule: long non-coding RNA, 923 nt
Organism: Eucalyptus grandis
Lineage: Eukaryota; Viridiplantae; Streptophyta; Magnoliopsida; Myrtales; Myrtaceae
Exons: 2
Source: RefSeq, a predicted model, not a curated record